Molecule: long non-coding RNA, 1107 nt
Organism: Symphalangus syndactylus (siamang)
Lineage: Eukaryota; Metazoa; Chordata; Mammalia; Primates; Hylobatidae
Source: RefSeq, a predicted model, not a curated record
CUGAAAAACACUGCAGUAUUUGAGGCGCUAAGCUUGGAGGAUGAGGGUGUGGGAGAGGACGCCUUCUUGGCUCCUUGGAGUGGACUGGCAGCCUCAGGGCCCGCCUGGCAGGACUACUGAGCAAGGCCUUGGAAAACCGGAGCGAUUAGAGCGGUUCAAACAAUACAGAAGUGUAUAAAGUAAGAAUUGAAAGUCUCUUCGCUGCUCUAAUCUCACUCCUCAGAGGUGAUCACUGGACCUCAGUGAGCAGAAGGCUUUUCAGAAUUACAGCCUAAACUAUUUCUUGAGCAAUUUGGGAACUCAUUUCUAAAGCAGUCUUCAGAUUCACACAACAUAGUCUGUGAUGGGUUAUGUCCAGAGCUGUGUGGAAGAUGAUCAAACUAUGACAUUUCUUCUACCCCAGAGGUUGGCAUUUCUGCAGGCACAAAUGAGCUUGGUUUUCAAGCACCAGUCUUUGAACACGAGGAAUUCCUUUAAUGAUCACGCCGGACUAUAUAGACUUCGGAAUCAGACUCUUUGAAUUCCAGCUCUGCCAUUUACCAACUUUGACACUUUGGACAGGGUCUCGUUCUGUCACCCAGGCUGGAGUGAAGUGGCACAAUUAUAGCUCACUGCAGCCUCAAACGCCUGGGCUCAAGCAAUCCUCCUACCUCUGCCUCCUGAGUACAAGUGUGUGCCACCAUGCCCAGCUAACUUUUAAUUUUUAAUUUUUUUGUAGAGAUGGGGGUCUUGCUAUGUCACCCAGGCUCGUCUUGAACACCUGGCCUCAAGUGAUCCUCCGGCCUCGGUCUCUCAAAGCUCUGGGAUUACAGACAUGAGCCACUGCACCCGGCUCUGUCUCCCCUUCCUAUGUGUGUUAGCUCUAGAGCAAGAGAAGCCUUGUUGAGAUUCAUGGCUGCCCACCCCCCAUCACCUCUCUGACUUUGGGCAAGUUGCCUGGUCUCUCUCAGCCUUUAUUUUCUUUUUGUGAAAUGGAGAUAAUAAUAGUACUUGCCUCAUAGGCACAAUGUUGUGAGAACUAAACGAGAAAAUGCAUGUAAAGCACUUGGCACUUAGUUCUUUUUAUGAUUAUAAUGAUAAUCAGACAAUAAAUUAUUUCUCACAUCA